CAAGUACUCCCUCCGUCCAACAAAAGAUGUCUCAAAUUUGUCAAAAUUUGGAUGUAUCUAGAUGUGAUUUUGUGCAUAGAUGCAUUCAUAUUUAGUCAAAGUUGAGACAUCCUUUGUUGGACGGAGGGAAUAUAUG
Brachypodium distachyon (stiff brome) is the source of this 136-nucleotide non-coding RNA. The record is from Rfam. NCBI's taxonomy places the organism in Eukaryota, Viridiplantae, Streptophyta, Magnoliopsida, Poales, Poaceae.